AGAUUGAACGCUGGCGGCAGGCCUAACACAUGCAAGUCGAGCGCGAAAGUUCCUUCGGGAAUGAGUAGAGCGGCGGACGGGUGAGUAACGCGUAGGAAUUUGCCCAGUAGUGGGGGACAACUCGGGGAAACUCGAGCUAAUACCGCAUACGCCCCAAGGGGGAAAGCAGGGGAUCUUCGGACCUUGCGCUAUUGGAUAAGCCUGCGUCGGAUUAGCUAGUUGGUGGGGUAAGGGCCUACCAAGGCAACGAUCCGUAGCUGGUCUGAGAGGAUGAUCAGCCACACUGGGACUGAGACACGGCCCAGACUCCUACGGGAGGCAGCAGUGGGAAUAUUGGACAAUGGGGGCAACCUGAUCCAGCCAUGCCGCGUGUGUGAAGAAGCCUUAGGGUUGUAAAGCACUUUCAGUGGGAGGAAAAGCUGGCGCUAAUAUCCGUCGGCCCUGACGUUACCACAGAAGAAGCACCGCAAACUCCGUGCCAGCAAGCCGC
RNAcentral lists this ribosomal RNA (490 nucleotides) under uncultured soil bacterium. Its description in RNAcentral is "bacterial SSU rRNA". It matches the Rfam family "Bacterial small subunit ribosomal RNA", at positions 26 to 518 of the family's 1533-position model. The record is from RNAcentral.